AUUGAACGCUGGCGGCAUGCUUUACACAUGCAAGUCGAACGGUAACAGGUUAAGCUGACGAGUGGCGAACGGGUGAGUAAUGCAUCGGAACGUGCCCGAUCGUGGGGGAUAACGCAGCGAAAGCUGCGCUAAUACCGCAUACGAUCUGAGGAUGAAAGCGGGGGACCGUAAGGCCUCGCGCGAUCGGAGCGGCCGAUGUCAGAUUAGGUAGUUGGUGGGGUAAAGGCUCGCCAAGCCGACGAUCUGUAGCUGGUCUGAGAGGACGACCAGCCACACUGGGACUGAGACACGGCCCAGACUCCUACGGGAGGCAGCAGUGGGGAAUUUUGGACAAUGGGCGCAAGCCUGAUCCAGCAAUGCCGCGUGCAGGAAGAAGGCCUUCGGGUUGUAAACUGCUUUUGUACGGAGCGAAAAGGCUCUCUCUAAUACAGGGGGCUCAUGACGGUACCGGAAGAAUAAGCACCGGCUAACUACGUG
RNAcentral lists this ribosomal RNA (477 nucleotides) under uncultured bacterium. RNAcentral describes it as "partial 16S ribosomal RNA". It matches the Rfam family "Bacterial small subunit ribosomal RNA", at positions 29 to 507 of the family's 1533-position model. The record is from RNAcentral.